This 484-nucleotide non-coding RNA is filed under the name Porites astreoides. Lineage: Eukaryota; Metazoa; Cnidaria; Anthozoa; Scleractinia; Poritidae. The record is from RNAcentral.
CUCGCUUCGCUGUCGACUUCUUGUGCUAUGGUGUGGGACCUGGCUUUCUAACCCUAACCGAGCCUUAACCUGGGGGUUUUGCUCUAUUAUUGGGCAUUGAAACAAAGCUCUGUCUUCCUUGGUCUGUCGAGUGUGUUUUUGGGGGUUUUCUUUCACGUUCGACGGGAGAAUUUGAGCUUGAACACAAGAAACCUCGGAGAAGAGAUGGCGAACGAGAUCAAGCGCUUCCUAGCUCUCACUGGAAAAUACCAUCGCCUUUGAAACAGGAAAUGAUGCAAAGCGUCUGGGGAAUGCAGCCGUGAGUAAGUUCACUUUCUGUGUUCAAGGGUUUGGCCCUUUUCCCUGCUAUUGCUCUUUUUUGCUCCGUGUAUAGGUGAUGCUCUGUUAGCAGUGUACAGUAAAAGAUGGGUCGUGCAGUCCUGCUUUCGGAUCGCCUUGGGCGAUUGCAAAUGUGGAAGCAGUGAACAUGGCCUUUCUUACAUUU